GACGAACGCUGGCGGCGUGCUUAACACAUGCAAGUCGAACGGAAGGGCCCGGCUUUUGUGUGGUUCUCGUUUGGCGAGCGGGUGAGUAACACGUGUGUAACCUGCCCUUGACUUUGUGAUAACUUCAGGAAACUGGGGCGAUUACCGGAGAGGAGCUCCUGCUGCAUGUGGGGGGUUGGAAAGUUUCGGCGGUUGGGGAUGGACUCGCGGCUUAUCAGCUUGUUGGUCUGGUAGGUGCUGACCACGUCUUUGACGGGUAGGCGGCCUGGGAGGGGGACCGGCGACAUUGGGACUGCGAUACGGACCAGACUGGUACGGGCGGCAACAGUGGAGAACAUUGCGCAACGGGCCGAAGCGUGAUGUAGAAACGUCGCGUGCGGGAUGAUGGCUUUCGGGUUGUAAACAGAUUUCGAAUGUGCCGAAGAGUGAGUGACGGUAACGGGUAAAAAAGCAACGGCUAACUACGUG
This 468-nucleotide ribosomal RNA is filed under the name uncultured bacterium. Its description in RNAcentral is "partial 16S ribosomal RNA". It matches the Rfam family "Bacterial small subunit ribosomal RNA", at positions 28 to 507 of the family's 1533-position model. The record is from RNAcentral.